Molecule: long non-coding RNA, 576 nt
Organism: Acomys russatus (golden spiny mouse)
Lineage: Eukaryota; Metazoa; Chordata; Mammalia; Rodentia; Muridae
Exons: 3
Source: RefSeq, a predicted model, not a curated record
CAGGACAUGUUUUAAUGCAGUGGUGUACGCGAUCCUGUCCAGGGAAAUCCUAUUUAUUAGCCAAAGAAGUUGCUAAUUAACUUUGUAAGAAUAAAUUCCUGUCGUUUCCUAAACACCCAAAUUUAUGUUUUUUGACUUUUUGCUUCUUCAGGUUGCUUCUCUCAAGCCUCUUUAGCUCAUUUGAGCAUCAAGUCUGAGCAGCCUGCCCUGAAGUUGAAGCACGCUCAGCUAGCAAUGAUUGAGCUGUCACAGUCUGGGUACCAGCCAUGUUCUCAGAAAGUGCUUACACUCAUAAGGUACACGGCCCAGCAGUUUCCUGAGGCAGGUUUGAUGGGAAACACUCUGCCUUGGAUCUUCUAACUUCCAAUGAAGAAACUGGAGAAGCCCAGUGCCGCUCUGGCUUCUACGAUUGACAAUGACUAAUUCCUUCUAUUUGAGGUGUGAUAUCCAAGAAAUUACUACUUAAAAUGUCACAAAGAAGGCCAGAGACAUGAGUGGAGUCAGCAGUUAAGAACACAUGCUGCUCUCACAGAGGACCCAGGUUUGGCUCCCAGCACCUCAUCAUGUGGCUCACAA